Molecule: long non-coding RNA, 5615 nt
Organism: Betta splendens (Siamese fighting fish)
Lineage: Eukaryota; Metazoa; Chordata; Actinopteri; Anabantiformes; Osphronemidae
Exons: 2
Source: RefSeq, a predicted model, not a curated record
UCCCCCCACAGACUGAUUAGCUACAGAUUUGAAUAUUACCGAUUACCAAUAUUAGAAUAGACGUUUUCUGCAGUAUUCUGCUUCUCCGCCCUCCUCGCAAUUCAAAGCGAUCAGGACGCUGAGCUAAUCUGAAGGUGCACCUGAUGUGGGCCAUGAUUUGGGAAGGUUGAGCUACUGUAGACUUUGGAGCAGUAUAACACAAGUGGAAGCUGGACCCAACACAGGAGAACACUAUUUGGUAUGAAUGAUGGGCUGUUGAGAAGGAAAGGAGGAAAAACUGUAACUUGUGGGUCCAAGAUCCUUCUUGCAAGGUUAGAGGGCUGCAGAGGAAAUAAGGCAAAGGAAUUCUUAAUGACUCUGACAUAUAGGAGACUUUUUCUAAGUGUUUUAGACUGAGAGAGUAAGAAAAAGCAGAGCAUGUGUGUCUUUAAGCUUUUCUUCUCCCUCUCGUUUACCCAAGCAGAUGCACUCUCUCCGACCAUGCCUUCAAUCAAUUAUUUAGGCAGAAAACAAAGGUCUGCACCCAUCCAUGAAUAAUAGAAGGUGAGAAGGCAGAGAGAAGGAUGGAGGAUAGAAACAGAAGCUCAGAGUGACAAGAGGUGAGUCUCGCACAAAUUCCCUCCUAUGACAGACAGCUCAGAGUCUGCGUAGGUCAAGCCAGUGGAAGAAAGCCAACAGGUGCAGAGGGAAGCUGAGCAGAAAAAUAUGUCCCGUGCAUCUACACCUGUACACACAGACACACACACGACACGUCGUCCUGGAAAUCCCAGGGAAACCAGCAUCAACGUACGGCUCGUACUGUACUGUGGGCGAAUCGGAGCAUUAAAACCAUCCGAGGACAAUGCGGGGAGUUGUUUUUGCAUGGUGUCAGAUGACAUGCCAGUCCGAAACAGGAAGCAGGGCAAGUGGGAGUAAAGGGAAUUGUGAUGUGUACUCUGUGUGUGUCUUAUUUUCCAGUUGGCCUUGUUCUUCCGAGAAUGUUUGAUGUUAGGUCCAAGACGGGGCGGGAGGAGAAAGCAAAGAGGGAGAAACUGGGUUCGAAAAAAGAUGUGGGGUAAAAAAAAAGGGGGAAAUAAAUUAGGAAGGAUGGAGGCAAAUAAGAAAAAUAGGAGAGAGAGAUGUAGUAACGUGGAGAUGGAAAUGGGUCAGUUAACAGUGGGUCUGACCAUGUGUGUGUGUGUGUGUGCGUGCGUGCGUGCGUGCGUGCGUGCGUGCGUGCGUGCGUGCGCGCGCGUGCGUGCGUGUGUGUGUGCGUGUGUGUGCGUGUGCUGCCUGCAUACAGACCUUCGUAGUCUUGACUUUGUUGCCUGUGCUGCAGCUCCAUCCUGUGAGGUCUGGGAGAACCUUGCACUCCUCACCUUCCAUACACGGCUGCAUUUGACACCACCACUUCUGGGCUACGAUAGAAGCUGGAGGACGAGGAACAGACAGGAGGCAGAUAUUUGUUAUUCAAAUGGGAAGGACACUGCUCAAAAGGGGCUGUUGCUACUCAAACAAGAUAAUACGGCCAAACGGAGACAUGUGAUAAUUUUCUAGUCAAUACGAUGCUCCCACCACCACUUGUUGGCUUUUCCAUUCCUUUGCCAACAUAGUGUGGUCUCAUCAGACCAAAGUACUGACCCAAACAGCCAUCCUCAGUUUGACCGAGUCAGGUGUUCAUGGGCAAAUGUUCAACUACACUCUCACUUUUUACUCCAACAGCCAAGGUUCAAUGCAAAUGAAGUGCAAAUUUCAAAUAAGGUUGAAUAAACUUGGCAAAAGAAAAUUUAAAUGAAUGUGUGCUUCUAACAACUGUUAUGCAAAUACUGAGAGCUGAAUAAAUUAAGAUAAACAGUUGGUAGCACUAAAUCUCCAAGUGGGCGCCAUAAAACUUAGCAGAUGAAGAGGAUGCAAUGAGAAGAUGCAAUUAAAAAAAGAGCAGUCAAACGUCAGAUGAACAGAAACAGUCAGUCAAACUGCAAAUUGUUUAAACAAUGUGGUCAGUGUGAUAAUAUGGUUUGUUUCAAGUGUUCAUUUGAGGACAUUUACUGACAGUUUAUAGAGAUAUUGAUGUUUUCGUCUCUUCUGGUAGCUUGAGUGGGUGUUUAGCCACAUGGUAACAGUCCUUUGUGAGGGAAAUGUUUUAAUACAUUACAAUUAGGUUGUUCAGGGUAAUCUUUCAAAAAUAGAUUCAUAUUAAAUUUCAAAGUCAAAUUGCAUUUUUAUUGCACAACUCCGUCAUUCUUUAACCACAUUUAAGAUACAAAAGCAGAUGUAGUGGUUGGUUUCCUCUUUAUGGUCUGGUUUAGUUACUUUCUUCACGUCACUGGACUUAACUUGACCCAUUUAUAUAAUACAUUGUAAAGACAUGAAUAUUGAGAUUAUUCUAAUUUGGACAUGUUCUGUUGCCCUUCAUGGAGAUACUGUAGGAAAUGGUUCGAAUGGGUGUCACGGGUCAUGGAUGUAAUCAGUGCAUUUGUGCUUUACCUACAUGGUUAUUAAAAAGUAAAACAAAGGACAAAACUGGAGGCAAGACAUGGAUGAAACCGCUGGUAAAUAUUUGGGUCUUUUUGAGAUUUGGAGCUGAUCUGUUUGAAGCGCAUCAGAUCAGUUACAGAUGACGUGAUUAAGUGCCACAUCUGAACAAACACUGAGUCAAAAGAAAAAAACAAAUCCAAGUGAACAAUAGAACAGCAAAAAUAUGUAUGUAAAAUAAUAUAAACACUGAUCCCCAGCAGAAAUAGACUUUUCUGCAUCUUAGUUAAGAUGUGACUAAUGUAAAUGGGAUGUUCUAGUUUGGCUGAUAUUUACUUUACUUAAGCCAUAUCUGCUCUUUACACCGGAGUAAAACUGAAAGCAGGGAUAUGAUAAAAAGGAAACGUACCAUCAACGCAGGACGGCAUCGCCCGAGUGGUGCCGGCCACUUGUCCAGGGAAACAGGAACAUUUGACCGUCUGAGAUCGCUCCUCGAUCUUGUUCUUGUUACAGCAGCGAUGGGCAGCAAUCACCUCGCAGGUCCCAGCUUUUACAUGCACUGUAAAGGACACACACGCAAACCAUGCGCUCAGCAGUGCUACUGGUUUACAUAUGAGUAGCUAUCAAACAUCGCUCUGAUAUCAAAUCUAAAUAAAGCAGAAGAAAAAAGGAGAGAACCUUUUAUUCAGAUUAGUUUGGUUUAGUUUGCAUCACUUGUUCUCCUGCUCAUGGCUAAAUUCGUCUUUAUUAGUAGAAUUAAGAACGAGACUGUCACAUUGUUCCCAUUUAGCCGACACGUCCAUACAGUCUGGCUCAUGUAGACUUAAAUAACAACACAUAAAUGAACCGUGACAGGACAGAUACAUCAGUUGCUGCCUGAAGGCUAGUACAAAAAACAGCAACGUUAUCAUGUCAACCUGGAUAAUGAAGCAAAAAGGGCUCGACUCGGUCUGUUCAUGCUGCUAUUAGCACAUAGCCACGAGCAAUGAAAAGGUACAGUUUACAAUUAGAACAAUUACACUUAUCUGUGCAAAAAUACAAGCAAACAAAAUAGUAAGUAUGAAGAAACCAUCAAAUGAUCACAUAAUGAGAAAAAUAGAAAUAGAGAUUUUUUUCUAAGACACAUUCAGUCUUUUCCUGCUGAGCCACAGUUACUGCAGCUGAGUCCAGAAGUCGCUGUGUGCUGUAUGAAUGCUUGAUUUUCUGUAUUGCUACCUUUACCUUCUUCCACUUUAAAACACACGCCAGUCAAACCUCAGUGGUAAUUAACAGCAAGUCUGCUUCAUGCACACACGUCCCUUGAGUCAGCUAAUAGAGAGGGGAACAAAGAAAUCACUCCCGAUAUGAAGAUCUGUGAUGUCAACACAUGGCCCUUUAUACCAGGCUUUCAUCAGAAACAUGAAAAUGUCAAGGGCAAACAAUACGUCCUGACAGGAGCAGUGAGCGCCAGACGCACGUCGUAGCGCUGGAUGUUGUACCUACAGUUUACACUGUGCAAUGUUUUCAUGUGGGCAUGAUUUUAAAAGUUCUAGUCUGGUUUCAGAUUUUCACACUGUUGUUAGAAGUUCCUGUUAUUUCCAUUACAAUAGAGUCCUGCCACAAUACAACAAAGGCCGCACUCUGCAUGGCAAUGAAACCAAAGCAGCACACAAUGAAUGUGCUCCGUCUGAAGAGUAUUUAAAUAUGAGGCAAGCGACACCAAAAGAGCCAGAAUGAAUAUGUUAAACAAACUAACAGAGAUUUGAAAAGUUCUUAAUUUGCUCCGUUAAUUAGAAAAGGACAAAGCAGCAAUCCAGCAAAGCCCAGUCCAAUUAAUAUCUCAGUGAAAAGCACAUUGUUGUGUCUCACCCACUGUUUCGCUCUCAUCUCUCUUUCAUGUCCUGAUUUCAUGUUUCGCUUCUCAAGCGGCGACGGACCAAAGGACUGACCGGCUGUGCAUCAGUCCAACUCAUCAUAUGUAUAGAGUUAACGUAUAUUAUUGUGUCACAAAUGUCCAGUGACUGUGGCGAUCACCAGAAGCACAGUCUUGUUAUAUGGGAGCAGCCUGGUGGAUAAACAUGGUCCCCAGAGGAUAGACCUCACUCACUACAGCUGCUAUACAUUGACUUUUAUCCCGACUGGGUUUGUGUCCAUUUAAAUUCUCAUAAGGCUUCUUCCUGAGGUUGUACACACAUUACAGUAGGAAAUGCUCAGUUUACAAUGACACAGUUAGUUUUUUCAUCCUCUCAUGGUCCCAGCAGGAUAAACUGUGGCCUCUUCUCCCCUUUCUCUACAGCCACUGACAUUUCACAGAACUACACAGAUACACAGCUCUGUAAAUCCAACCUGCCGCCCCCUGACCCAUUUUAAGGCUCGGCUCACGCGGCGGAUUGAUUAUUUUUGUCUGGCUUGAUAAGUUUAUUUCUGUAUCUGCCAGAACAUAAUUCUAUUUUAAUAAAUGCAUAUUGUGACAGAUCUGUGUUGAACAUAAAAUAUUAAGGUGAUGGGCUCCCAGCGGCUGCACAUACAGUACUGCGACACACAGCGAAAGGUUUGGAGUGGAAGGAGCAUCAGGAGGGCUUUGAUUUCAGAUAUAGAAAAAUGUAGAGUGGAAUAAGACCCAGAGCACUGACCACGGAGCAUGUUUGACUUGGCUCCUUCCAAUGACGACCAUUGUUCUCACUUACAGAGGAAGUGGUAAAAGAAGCAGGAUGUGUUUUUCCCAGCACUGAGCCUCAGUCAGGAUGUGAUACCCUGUACGUCGAAGCUGCUGCUGAUGUCGGCAGCAUCGCUGAAAACCGACACCCAAAUACGCACCUGUUACUGCUGCUAUUGCUGGCGAACCUGUGGAGCACCAGAACCUGAGAUUACUGUUCUAUGAAGUAUAUGGGUGUCUCUGGCUACAAGAUGCCUCAAACCGAGAUCUUUCUCUUUGAUGAGAAACAAAAAUACAAUAGAAUUUCAGCACAGACACUGCACAAAGCAGUGUACACAAAGAGAAAGGUGCUCAAUGUUCUGUAUGUUGAGCACAAAUGCUAAUUGUAAAAAUGCUACAUAGUGAGUCAGACACAAGGAGUAAAUUGUGUGCCACACACACACACACACACACACACACACACACACACACACACACACACACACACACACACACACACACACACACACACACACACACACAUAAA